UUUUUUCUUUACAGAAUUUACAUCUCUUCUCUGAGAGGGUAAAUCCCCUUUUCUCUCCUCUGGUAGCUCUGAGAGGGGAAUGGGGAAGGGAGUGGCUUCACCAAAUCUUGUGGCCUGCCCAUGGAUCACCAAAGCAAAGCUGGGAAGGAGAUUCUCUUGCAGUCUAGAUCUGACCGAGUGCUCCAGCCGCACGCGGAUUUUGCGGCGCCCGGCAGCGAGACCGCAUCUCGUCGUUGCUGAUCUGCAGAGGCAAAAGCGGUCGCCGGGAGGCCACGGGAGAGUAUAAGAGAUUGCUCUCCGGUUCGUGGCGCUGGGACCAUGAGCUAUGUCGUCCGAUUGAACGACGUCGUCCGUGGCAGAGAGGGGGAGUCAAACGUGGAGGCAAGCUGUGGGCUUCCUAGUUGCUACUGCUUUCGGCUUCCACCUAUGUAAUGUGUGCUACAACUUUGCAUCAUUCCUACAUCCCUCCACAUCAGCUUAUUCUUCAUAGAUGAGAGCUAGUUGGGACCUCAGCAGGUCGGUCUUGACUUCAUUGGGCAUCGAGUUGCACGAUGAUGUCGCAGCUUUGAAUGAAUAUCGAUGUUUGUACGGCAUCGUGUCGCAGAAUCACAUGCUUCAAUUUGUAGCACCCUGACUAUGCUUAAUGGCUUGGAUAAUUCCAGUGGAAUGGCUGUAGGGUUACCUCCUCCUCGUCGUUGUUGCCUCGGCCACCGCCACUUUUCUUUGGCGCUUGCAUCCACGCCCAUCAUGCGUUAGCUGUUCGGGGCCCUCUGUCGUAUUCGUAUAUGUGAUGUAGGCCAUUCUCCCUCGGCAAGCCUAGCUUUCUUUGCUAUUGUUGGUCUCCGGCGGUGAGACUUCGUCCUUGAUCAGGUCAUCUUCCAAGGAUUGAGCCAAAUUUUGUUCGAGUACACGUGAUUGUUCCUCCACCACCUACAUGUAAUCUUUUUUUUUUGAGCAUCAGUACAGACAUAAGCGCUCAUAUACACGCGCAUACACUCAUCCCUAUGAACGCACACACGCACACCUUACCCCUAUGAGCACCUCUGAGAGACUGAGCCGGCAUAUAAUGUGGCGCCUCGUCGUCGACGGGAACGUCUUCUCCCAUUGAAAGCGCGUCGCCGGAAAUCUUGAAAUAAAUCCAGGAAUAAUGUGAGCACCAGGAUUUGAACCCUGGUGGGUUGGGGAUACUACUGUCCACCUAGCCAACUCAACCACAGGUUGAUUCACCUACAUGUAAUCUGAUCCAGAUAUUAAUGAGAUUAAAAAAGUACUCUACUUCCUUAUAAUGACAUGACCCGGUUCUGUGCGUGCC
Long non-coding RNA from Triticum aestivum (bread wheat), 1312 nucleotides. RefSeq lists it as uncharacterized. The transcript is spliced from 3 exons. The record is from RefSeq and is a predicted model, not a curated record. Lineage: Eukaryota; Viridiplantae; Streptophyta; Magnoliopsida; Poales; Poaceae.